GAUGAACGCUGGCGGCGUGCUUAACACAUGCAAGUCGAACGGUGAAGCAGGAGCUUGCUCUUGUGGAUCAGUGGCGAACGGGUGAGUAACACGUGAGCAACCUGCCCCUGACUCUGGGAUAAGCGCUGGAGACGGCGUCUAAUACUGGAUAUGUGAUGUGACCGCAUGGUCUGCAUCUGGAAAGAAUUUCGGUUGGGGAUGGGCUCGCGGCCUAUCAGCUUGUUGGUGAGGUAAUGGCUCACCAAGGCGUCGACGGGUAGCCGGCCUGAGAGGGUGACCGGCCACACUGGGACUGAGACACGGCCCAGACUCCUACGGGAGGCAGCAGUGGGGAAUAUUGCACAAUGGGCGGAAGCCUGAUGCAGCAACGCCGCGUGAGGGAUGACGGCCUUCGGGUUGUAAACCUCUUUUAGCAGGGAAGAAGCGAAAGUGAUGGUACCUGCAGAAAAAGCACCGGCUAACUACGUGCCAGCAGCCGCAGUAA
RNAcentral lists this ribosomal RNA (484 nucleotides) under uncultured bacterium. Its description in RNAcentral is "partial 16S ribosomal RNA". It matches the Rfam family "Bacterial small subunit ribosomal RNA", at positions 28 to 523 of the family's 1533-position model. The record is from RNAcentral.